GACGAACGCUGGCGGCGUGCCUAAUACAUGCAAGUUGAGCGCUGAAGGUUGGUACUUGUACCAACUGGAUGAGCAGCGAACGGGUGAGUAACGCGUGGGGAAUCUGCCUUUGAGCGGGGGACAACAUUUGGAAACGAAUGCUAAUACCGCAUAAAAACUUUAAACACAAGUUUUAAGUUUGAAAGAUGCAAUUGCAUCACUCAAAGAUGAUCCCGCGUUGUAUUAGCUAGUUGGUGAGGUAAAGGCUCACCAAGGCGAUGAUACAUAGCCGACCUGAGAGGGUGAUAGGCCACAUUGGGACUGAGACACGGCCCAAACUCCUACGGGAGGCAGCAGUAGGGAAUCUUCGGCAAUGGACGAAAGUCUGACCGAGCAACGCCGCGUGAGUGAAGAAGGUUUUCGGAUCGUAAAACUCUGUUGGUAGAGAAGAAAGUUGGUGAGAGUGGAAAGCUCAUCAAGUGACGGUAACUACCCAGAAAGGGACGGCUAACUACGUG
Molecule: ribosomal RNA, 497 nt
Filed under: uncultured bacterium
Lineage: Bacteria
Description: partial 16S ribosomal RNA
Rfam family: Bacterial small subunit ribosomal RNA
Source: RNAcentral